Molecule: long non-coding RNA, 219 nt
Filed under: Sorghum bicolor (sorghum)
Lineage: Eukaryota; Viridiplantae; Streptophyta; Magnoliopsida; Poales; Poaceae
Description: long non-coding RNA (SBIC_LNC010114)
Source: RNAcentral
UUCUCCUUCAUAGUCUGCCCAUCCGUCCUUGAUGAUUUGACUCCUCUGGUUGCGGUUGCGUCGUUUUCUGACCUGCUUAGAGUCUUCAACGAUAUAGUUAGGGUCAGUAAAAUAGCGGCGUACCUUCUCUGAGGGGAAGUGCAUAUGGACUUCUCCGGUUCCAAUGUAGAUUAUUGCUUUAACGGUGCUGAGGAACGGUCUUCCAAGGAUGAUGGGUGG